RNAcentral lists this non-coding RNA (1170 nucleotides) under Cryptosporidium parvum. Lineage: Eukaryota; Apicomplexa; Conoidasida; Eucoccidiorida; Cryptosporidiidae. The record is from RNAcentral.
UGUAAAUAAAUUUAGUGUUAAAAUUGUAAUUAUUGAACUUGAGAAAGUUUUUGGUUUUGGUGGUAAAAUCUAGGAAGACAAUUAUAUUACAUAAAGAGAACUGAGAGAAAAAACUAAACAAUUCUAUUUCCGAGUGCUACAGAUUUGGCAUCUAUUUCUAGUGCCUGAAUUAACGUGUGUGCAAAGUAUACAGACCCAUUUAGGCGGGUUUUCUGGUUUCAUGCGAGCUUUUCCUUUGUUUUCACCUUUACUAAUAAGUUCAGGAAACUCAAAAAUUCCUUUAGGCUUUGAUUCAUUUUCAUUAGCCGGUUUGGCCGUAGAUUCUUUUGAUUUUAAAGCUUGAGCAUAGUUUGCUGUCUUUCCGAUUGAAUUCGGUUUAUUGGUUGUGGGCUGGUAGGAAGAGGAUGUUGCAGAGGAAGAGGAUACAGUAGUAGAGGAAAACGAGGUACCAGAUUGAAUUGGUGAGGACGAGGCUAUCACAGUUUUUGGAGCAGAACUGUUUGAGCUCAAAUAAGUUUUAGAAGUCCAAUUUCCAGAAGUGUUAAUUUUAAGUGAAUUCAAAGAUGUCAGAGAAGGUGCCAAAGAUUUUGAAUGGGAUAUAACUCCAGAGUGAGCAUUCACAGUUUUUGGAGCAGACUCAGAUGAAUUUUCUUCCUUGUUUUUCUCGUAUAACUCUUCUUUCUGCUUCUCUAAAAGAAGGAAGUUCGGAUCAUUUAAAGUUUUAAUGCAAGCUUUACAGUAUAUAAGAAUGAUCUCAACAUCGUAGAGACAAAUCUUGUUGAAUGCUUUAGUACAGAUAUUAAGCCAUUGCCUGUGCGCCAAAGACUCAGUAAUUGUACUUGGAGUUUGGGAAUCUUCUGGAAAUGUUGUAGUAUUCAUAGCUAGCCUAUAGAAUGGAGCUCUAAGUCCUAGAAUUCGUUCUAUAGUGUUUGCUGAAGAAACUAAGCUGCUAGUAUGUUGGUAUAGAGAAGAUAGAGCAUUGAUUUCAGUUGAGGUUUGUGAUCCAAUCAAGAUUUUAAAUUUAUCAAAGAUCUUUUCUUUAUCUGAUGCCUCUGGCAAAAAUUCUGAAAAUUGAGAAAGAGAGAUUUUUGAAAAACAAGCUGUGAGAAACGAGUUUAGGGAUUCCAAAAAGGUAACUUUUUGAGAAAUAAGCAUUUCAUCUGGUUUAAU